CUUGAGAAUCAGGUUGGCAAUGUAGGGUGGAAGAACAACUCUAGAAAUCUAUCAUAGGCUCUCCAACAGUCAAGUUGCGCUCAAGCGUCCAAGGUUGCACUGGAGAAGAACAAUGUCGCAUUCAGUGCCUUUGCGUAGGCUCUUGCCUGUCAAAAUAAGAAAAUCUUGUGACAACCUCUGGCAUAACCCAAAUUUGGAAGAUUUGGUGGGAAACUCUCAAAAAAAUCUAUCAGUUUGUUACAAAAUUAUGGAGUUGCAGGAUCUUGGAUCAUCAUUCAGUUUCCUGGCUAAGGGUACGACUAAAGAAACACUCAUGAUUUCUACUGUUACCUCGCUUGCAAUUGCCCAUUGCAAAUCGAUUGGGAGUUGGAUAAAAUCAUCAAACUUUGUUCCUAUCAGUACUGGAAUUGCUGCCUGCAAAACAAACAGAGAACGUUCCACCUUCAGUAAAGUGGGAGAAAGGAGCUUUUGGUUUUAGAAACUUUGGAGGGUGCUAUCAAAUGGGUCCUAAAAUACCUGAUUCCACUUCCAGGCCUGUCUAUACCACCUUAGAACGCUGCAAACCGAAGGAAAAUCUUGGUUUCAACCUUCUUAUUCAUCAGAGCCAAAGUUGAAUAAGCAACAGAAACAAGUCUCACCUCUUUAAGGUACGCCGACUUGUUAGAUCAAACAUAAAAAGUAUUGCUACAGAGUCUUUGCAUGCUGUUGGAAUGUGAUCCUGAGAUUUCUUGUCGCCUGCAUCCAUAUACACACAUUAUUUCCUUUCUGCAUCUCAUCAUAGAACUGUCCACAUUAUAAUUCUUGAGCUGCAAAUUUAGCCAAUUACCUCCCACUUCCCAAAUGCUAUACGAAAUUCGUGCCCCUCUAACCAUCAGUGUCUUGUCCAUCAAGUUCAAUCCUCUCUGCUCACUCUUUCCCUCCUCCAUUUCAUUCCCAA
Cucurbita moschata (crookneck pumpkin) is the source of this 937-nucleotide long non-coding RNA. RefSeq lists it as uncharacterized. Lineage: Eukaryota; Viridiplantae; Streptophyta; Magnoliopsida; Cucurbitales; Cucurbitaceae. The transcript has 2 exons. The record is from RefSeq and is a predicted model, not a curated record.